This is a regulatory RNA element of Chlorocebus sabaeus (green monkey), 52 nucleotides long. The record is from Rfam. NCBI's taxonomy places the organism in Eukaryota, Metazoa, Chordata, Mammalia, Primates, Cercopithecidae.
GGGAAACGGGAUGAGGGGCCAGCCCCAGGCCCUGAAACAAGCUUAUAGGGCA